UACAGAGGGUGCGAGCGUUGUUCGGAAUCAUUGGGCGUAAAGGGCGUGUAGGCGGUUUGCUAAGUCAUGUGUGAAAUCCCUCGGCUCAACCGGGGAAGGACGCAUGAAACUGACAAGCUAGAGUACCAAAGAGGGGGGUGGAAUUCCCGGUGUAGCGGUGAAAUGCGUAGAUAUCGAGAGGAACACCAGUGGCGAAGGCGAGUCCCUGGACAACACCUGACACUGAGGCACGAAAGCUAGGGGAGCAAACAGG
This 253-nucleotide ribosomal RNA is filed under the name uncultured bacterium. RNAcentral describes it as "partial 16S ribosomal RNA". It matches the Rfam family "Bacterial small subunit ribosomal RNA", at positions 524 to 776 of the family's 1533-position model. The record is from RNAcentral.